This 260-nucleotide ribosomal RNA is filed under the name uncultured bacterium. RNAcentral describes it as "partial 16S ribosomal RNA". It matches the Rfam family "Bacterial small subunit ribosomal RNA", at positions 334 to 591 of the family's 1533-position model. The record is from RNAcentral.
GACGCCUACGGGAGGCAGCAGUGAGGAAUAUUGGUCAAUGGCCGAGAGGCUGGACCAGCCAAGUCGCGUGAGGGAAGACGGCCCUACGGGUUGUAAACCUCUUUUGUCGGGGAGCAAAGAGAGUCACGUGUGACUCAUUGAGAGUACCCGAAGAAAAAGCAUCGGCUAACUUCGUGCUAGCAGCCGCGGUAAUACGGAGGAUGCGAGCGUUAUCCGGAUUUAUUGGGUUUAAAGGGUGCGCAGGCGGAGGGGCAAGUCAG